AGCAGGAUGGUGGUGACAUUCCUCAUGUCAGCUCUUGAAACUGGCCAAGUUUAAGGCCAAAGGGGCCUGCAUCACUGAGUAUAAAGCAGAUGUCUUUGCCUUCGGAACUGAAGGACAGAGGACACAAUUUUUUCAAUACCAGAAAGGAUUUUCAAACAGAUUUUGUAAAAUAUUGCAAGCAUUAAGAAGAAAAGGUUGCAGAGAUGCAUUAAAUAAAGUCUACAACCCAGGUGAGUCAGAUGAGUGUAGAUGCUGUAGAAGUGGCAACACUCAGAAAAAACACUUUACAAAAACCCACAGAGGUAACUGUACCAUAUGAGAAGAUGCUACAAGACCAGUCAGCUUUGAUAGUACAGGGGCUUCCAGAAGGUGUUGCCUUUAAACACCCUGAGAAUUACUAUCUUGCAACCCUGAAAUGGAUUUUGGAGAACACAGCCGGGAUUUCAUUCAUUAUUAAGAGGCAUUUCCCUGGAAGUGGCAGCUGUGACAGUAAAGGAAGAAUCAGAAGAUCCUGAUUAUGAUUUAUAUCACAUUCAAGGUA
RNAcentral lists this long non-coding RNA (541 nucleotides) under Homo sapiens (human). Its description in RNAcentral is "non-protein coding lnc-NOS2-5:3". The record is from RNAcentral. Lineage: Eukaryota; Metazoa; Chordata; Mammalia; Primates; Hominidae.